AGCGAACGCUGGCGGCAGGCUUAACACAUGCAAGUCGAGCGGGCACUUUCGGGUGUCAGCGGCGGACGGGUGAGUAACGCGUGGGAACGUGCCCUCUGGUUCGGAAUAACUCAGGGAAACUUGAGCUAAUACCGGAUACGCCCUUUUGGGGAAAGGCUUGCUGCCGGAGGAUCGGCCCGCGUCUGAUUAGCUAGUUGGUGAGGUAACGGCUCACCAAGGCGACGAUCAGUAGCUGGUCUGAGAGGAUGAGCAGACACACUGGGACUGAGACACGGCCCAGACUCCUACGGGAGGCAGCAGUGGGGAAUAUUGGACAAUGGGCGCAAGGCUGAUCCAGCCAUGCCGCGUGAGUGAUGAAGGCAUUAGGGUUGUAAAGCUCUUUUAUCCGGGACGAUAAUGACGGUACCGGAGGAAUAAGCCCCGGCUAACUUCGUG
RNAcentral lists this ribosomal RNA (435 nucleotides) under uncultured bacterium. RNAcentral's name for it is "partial 16S ribosomal RNA". It matches the Rfam family "Bacterial small subunit ribosomal RNA", at positions 29 to 507 of the family's 1533-position model. The record is from RNAcentral.